Molecule: long non-coding RNA, 584 nt
Filed under: Physcomitrium patens
Lineage: Eukaryota; Viridiplantae; Streptophyta; Bryopsida; Funariales; Funariaceae
Description: long non-coding RNA (PPAT_LNC006426)
Source: RNAcentral
GUGCGAAGCAUAUCGAACCUGGAAGCGAGUGAGUGCGAAGCAUAUCAAACCUGUACGCUUCUGUUGAUCCUAUUGGGAUGUGUGAAGUAGAAUGAUUAAAUACAAAUUCUGUAACUUGGUCACCUUGAACUUGAUGCGGCCACACAAGAUAGAAAUAGAAUACUCAGAUCUAGUUCCUAAAACAACGUAUACCCAUGUGCAACUAAUAUUCCAUGAAUCAGCAAAAAGGGGUGCACCUUCUUACGUUUCAACAACCCGAAAAAUAAAUAAAUAAAAUAAUAAAAAGGUUCCGAGUUCUCGGUCUUAUUCUCCUGCAUGUCCAACUUUCCCCGCAUUCGUCGUCAUCGUCAUGGUGGUGGAAUUUGUUCUCACAGUCUUAGUCAUAUUCUUCGCAGCAAUAAAGUCAGCGACUCAGUGAUCCUUCAUUCAAGUUUACUAGAACGUACGUAUAUCCGUCGGAGUUAUAUGCAGCCCAUUCAGUCGGAUUGCUCGGUUGGGCACAUUCAGUGAUCGAACACUCGAUUCCAGCACAUCAUCACCGAGGUACCAGUGGUCAUUCUGUCUUGUAUAAUAAUCCUUAAACU